RNAcentral lists this ribosomal RNA (379 nucleotides) under uncultured bacterium. Its description in RNAcentral is "bacterial SSU rRNA". It matches the Rfam family "Bacterial small subunit ribosomal RNA", at positions 30 to 409 of the family's 1533-position model. The record is from RNAcentral.
AUUGAACGCUGGCGGCAUGCCUUACACAUGCAAGUCGAACGGCAGCACGGGAGCAAUCCUGGUGGCGAGUGGCGAACGGGUGAGUAAUAUAUCGGAACGUGCCCAGUCGUGGGGAUAACGUAGCGAAAGCUACGCUAAUACCGCAUACGAUCUAUGGAUGAAAGCGGGGGGAUCGCAAGACCUCGCGCGAUUGGAGCGGCCGAUAUCAGAUUAGGUAGUUGGUGAGGUAAGGCUCACCAAGCCGACGAUCUGUAGCUGGUCUGAGAGGACGACCAGCCACACUGGGACUGAGACACGGCCAGACUCCUACGGGAGGCAGCAGUGGGGAAUUUUGGAACAAUGGGCGCAAGCCUGAUCCAGACAAUGCCGCGUGCAGGAU